This 1761-nucleotide long non-coding RNA is filed under the name Homo sapiens (human). RNAcentral describes it as "CCDC26 long non-coding RNA". The record is from RNAcentral. Lineage: Eukaryota; Metazoa; Chordata; Mammalia; Primates; Hominidae.
AGAGACAGAGAGAGAGAAUAUAUGAGAAAGUGAAGAAGAGAAAAUGGGAGAGGGAGAGAAAACAUACAAUUAUGUAUGUCUGGAGCACACCAUAUUAAAGGAGGGAGUGGCAGAAAACGUGAGGUGGGAAUCAAAUCAUGCUGGGCUUUUUGGCCAGCAAACUUGGAAAUCAUGUCUUAGAGAUCAAGGAGCCAAGAGAUGAGACAAGCCUGGGUUCCUAGGUGAUAGGGUGUGGCUGUGUCCCCACCCAAAUCUCGUCUUGAAUUGUAGCUCCCAUAAUCCCCACAUGUUGUGGAGGGACCCUGUGGAAGAUCUUUAAUAAAUGAAAUAAAUGUGACUGUAUGUCCUACAUCCCAUUCCUGUUGUCUUCCAUGUCUCCUCAGAGAUUGUGCCUGCAGCCUGGCCUGUUGCCCACAGCGGUCUACCUGCCACACUGGGAAAGAUCGAGCAGAGACAGAGAAGAAAAGGAGGCUCCAUUUUUCAGGCUGCUCUCCCGCAGGCUCAUGUUUUGUGUUCAUGCCAGGCAGAGAACACAAAAUGUUCCAAUAAAUAAGUAUCAAAGGUUAGUGGUGAAAAUGAAGGAGGAGGAGGCAUUGCGUGAAAAACUAAACAUGCAAAAUAUUACACACAAAGAGAACCAAAAUGCAGGUUCACUGGAAAUGAUAGACAAUAUGUUAAAACAAGAGGAGAGAAGAGAGCUGAAAUAAUCAAAUGGAAACACACAAUUUAGGGCUAAGAUCUUGUUGUGUUCAGCCACAAAUGAUGGCCAGCAGUGAGGAAUCUGUGUGUUCUCCACACUCUUCGCUCCUGGGAAGUCAACUCACAUGGACCAUGAUAUCAAUAUCUGCUCCUUCCCCUAAUAUCUGUUUGACCUUGGGUCAGUUACUUAAACUUCCUAAGCCUUAGUUUCUUUGUCUGGAAAAUAGGGAUAGUUAUACCUACCACACAACCACUUUGUAAUGAAUAUGUUGGAAAUUAUAUGCAAAUUGGCUUCCGUUGGUGUUUGGAACAUAGUAGGUUUUUAACUGGAAUAUAAUAGCUACCAUUAUCAGUAUCAUCAUAUUAAUUUAUAUUUCCAUCUUCAGCCCUUAACCCAGGAUCUUCAGUAAAUGUUGAAUUCUCAAAUUUGUUAAAUUCACUUGUCUAUACUAAUAUUUUACUCUAGGUUUCUUAGAAUAUUCUAGAUAAUAUUAUUAUGUAGAAUAUGUUAUGUAAGCUUCAUCUUAUCUGUAAAUAUAGUUUUACUUUUUCCUUUCUAAUUUUUAUGUCGAUUACUUCUUUUUCUUGGCUUAUUGAAUUGGCUAGGAUUCCCGUACAGUGUUGAAUACGUGCAGCAAGACUGCACAUCUUGCCUUGUUCCUGGUCCCACAGAGAGAAUAUCCAGUACUUCACAAUAAGUAUGUGUUAAUUGUAGAUUUUAUUAGAUUGAGGAAGUUCCCUUUCCUUUCAAGUCAGUCUUUUUAUUUUAAACAUGUAUUGAAGUUUUGUCAAAUGUCUUCAUCUAUUGGAAUAAUUAUACAUAUCUCUUUUUUAUUCUGUUAAUAUUACAUUUCAAUCUUCUGUCUACCUAAAAUCCCUAGAAUAAUCUCCAUUUGGCUAUGAUGUGUUGUGCUUUUAUAUAUUACUGAAUUCUAUAUGCCAAUAUUAUUAAAAUUUUCUGUCUUUAUGAGAAAUAUUUGAAUGUAUAUUUUUUCAUGUAUUUGUUUUGAUUUUAUUUUCAAUGCCAUUUUGUAAAAGAGCAUUAAAGUGUUAGUAUGAAAG